CCCUUCAGAGGGGGACAACAGUUGGAAACGACUGCUAAUACCGCAUACGAUCUAACCUCGGCAUCGAGGAAAGAUGAAAGGUGGCCUCUACAUGUAAGCUAUCACUGAAGGAGGGGAUUGCGUCUGAUUAGCUAGUUGGAGGGGUAACGGCCCACCAAGGCGAUGAUCAGUAGCCGGUCUGAGAGGAUGAACGGCCACAUUGGGACUGAGACACGGCCCAG
Molecule: ribosomal RNA, 221 nt
Filed under: uncultured bacterium
Lineage: Bacteria
Description: partial 16S ribosomal RNA
Rfam family: Bacterial small subunit ribosomal RNA
Source: RNAcentral